RNAcentral lists this ribosomal RNA (252 nucleotides) under uncultured bacterium. Its description in RNAcentral is "partial 16S ribosomal RNA". It matches the Rfam family "Bacterial small subunit ribosomal RNA", at positions 524 to 776 of the family's 1533-position model. The record is from RNAcentral.
UACGUAGGUCCCGAGCGUUGUCCGGAUUUAUUGGGCGUAAAGCGAGCGCAGGUGGUUUAUUAAGUCUGGUGUAAAAGGCAGUGGCUCAACCAUUGUAUGCAUUGGAAACUGGUAGACUUGAGUACAGGAGAGGAGAGUGGAAUUCCAUGUGUAGCGGUGGAAUGCGUAGAUAUAUGGAGGAACACCGGUGGCGAAAGCGGCUCUCUGGCCUGUAACUGACACUGAGGCUCGAAAGCGUGGGGAGCAAACAGG